UUAAUGUGUGAAGUGUGAUAGGGGUUCUUUUGCUGUUUCAAGCUGUUCAUCCAUUUAUCCCCAGAUGUAGAUCCUGGAAUCACGGAGUGGCUGAGGUUGGAAAGGACCACUGGAGCCCUCCUGUCCAAGCUGGGUGCUGUCGAGCAUGCUACUCAGGAGGACAUCCAGAUGGUUCUGGAAUAUCUUCAGAAAUGUAAGCUUCACAACCCCUCAGGGGAACCUGUGGUUCCUUCUGCUCUCCAAGACAGUGGAACUCUUAGGAAUUCUGUGGAACAAGCUUUCUUCUACAUCAGCUCUUAACUUUGGUUCCUGGCACGCUAUCCACCUGCUGAGGCUCAGGCCACUGAAGUGCUGCACACAAAGCAGAUGUCCUGGGGAGCAAGUUUACAGCCUGCAAGUGACUGGAAACUCUUCUGAGGUACGUCGGCAGUUCCACUGAGCAGUACUGAGAGCAGCCCUUUGUUAUUCCUCUGCCUUCUGCAUCUGCUUUCUCUUUGGGCCUGUCACAGACACAAGUGUGGAAUGCAGGGGGCAGGGGGUUGUCUUUUUAGCAGUCUAGUGGCAAACAGGAGGUUAAAGGCUUUUUUGUGCAUUUUUGUGCUUCUCAGAAGUGAAAUGGAGAACCUAAAUUCCUGUCUGAUGCACUUGAUGUGCAGAAAUGUCACAGUCCUUGGUCCUGUGCGUCCCUUUAAGGUGCUAAUCAUCAGCAAUUAUCUUUUUUUAAUAUAUAUAUUUUUUUUGUAAAGACGUCUGUUACACUUUUAGGUUACUAAAUAUUACCUGCAUCACCUGAGGCUUGUCUUUCAUGAAAAUACAGUUUGGUUUGUCAAAUUCAAGCUACAGUUUAUUCCAUGUUUCUUGCAAGUGAUUUGUCUAGGCAUGUAUUGCUCUGAUCUAGUGCAGUGCUGUGUUUUAUGAUACCUCAUGCUAAUAUAUUACAUUGCAGUCACAGUUAGUAUUUAAAGCAAAAAUUGUUUUUGUUGUUACUGUUCUAAAAUUUGUGGGUUUGUUUCCAAAAUGCAGUCAUUUGAACCUUUAUUGAGGUGUCUCGGGAAACUGUAUUGCAGGUUAUUUCAUGUACGUGGUCAGGAAACUCAGUAAUUCACUGUAUCUAUUCAUGUGAAUCUGCUGACAGAGUUUGGGGGUGAUUGACAGAAGAAAAUAGAUGACAUUUUGGUUUUUUGUUUCUAAUUUUAUGAAAAUCCCAAGUUUCUAUGAAAAUAUUUUUCUGAGAUAAAUGGCUGGUAAUGACAGGAAGAAGGAAAAAACUCCAAUCAAGAUCCAGUGUGAUUCAGGAGAUCUGUUACUAUUCUAGAUCCCUUGGAGAAAUGGAAUCAUUAAAUAUGUUUUAACUCAAACUCGGAAUUAUAAUCCUUUUCCCCAUACUUUUAUGACAUCUCUUAAGAAGCAGUAGUUUAAAUCCAGUUUAAUAAUUGUGACAUUAAUUUAAUCAGUAAGGAGAGACCUCACAAAAUUUACCCAUGGAAUUGCAACUGAAGCUUUGAGAGAUGUUUGCAUUGUGAACCAACACAAGUUGCAAAUUGUGACUAAGGUAUUUUGGUAUUUCAUUUAAAGCAGCUACCUCAGAGAUCAAUAUCAGCACGGCUCCAAGAAUCGUGGAGUUUGUCAGGUAGGUUUUGUGGGCUAUACUGAGUCUCAUUGUCUGGUGCUCUGCAAUCCACUUAUUAGCUGGUUUAAUUGGCUAAAGCAGCACCCAGCACAUCUGCUAGAGCUCUGAGGUGGAUUUUAAAGCAAAAUGUAGCCAUAGCUGGAGCUAGGUCAUGUCAUCACCCCUUCAGGAUCACAGCACUUUCUUCUCCUUCCUGUAUUUCAAGGUUACAUUAAUUACACAAACUGAUUGAAUAAAACUUUCAUGGGUUAAUUUUUGGAGAUUUGU
Parus major (Great Tit) is the source of this 1897-nucleotide long non-coding RNA. Lineage: Eukaryota; Metazoa; Chordata; Aves; Passeriformes; Paridae. The record is from Ensembl.